Molecule: ribosomal RNA, 3267 nt
Filed under: Isochrysis nuda
Lineage: Eukaryota; Haptophyta; Isochrysidales; Isochrysidaceae
Description: SSU rRNA
Rfam family: Eukaryotic small subunit ribosomal RNA (bases 1-1780)
Source: RNAcentral
GUCAUAUGCUUGUCUCAAAGAUUAAGCCAUGCAUGUCUAAGUAUAAGCGAGUAUACUGUGAAACUGCGAAUGGCUCAUUAAAUCAGUUAUGGUUUAUUUGAUGGUACCUUGCUACUUGGAUAACCGUAGUAAUUCUAGAGCUAAUACAUGCAGGAGUUCCCGACUUCGGAAGGGAUGUAUUUAUUAGAUAAGAAACCAAACCGGUCUCCGGUUGCGUGCUGAGUCAUAAUAACUGCUCGAAUCGCACGGCUCUACGCUGGCGAUGGUUCAUUCAAAUUUCUGCCCUAUCAGCUUUCGAUGGUAGGAUAGAGGCCUACCAUGGCGUUAACGGGUAACGGAGAAUUAGGGUUCGAUUCCGGAGAGGGAGCCUGAGAAAUGGCUACCACAUCCAAGGAAGGCAGCAGGCGCGUAAAUUGCCCGAAUCCUGACACAGGGAGGUAGUGACAAGAAAUAACAAUACAGGGCUAUCUUAGUCUUGUAAUUGGAAUGAGUACAAUUUACAUCUCUUCACGAGGAUCAAUUGGAGGGCAAGUCUGGUGCCAGCAGCCGCGGUAAUUCCAGCUCCAAUAGCGUAUAUUAAAGUUGUUGCAGUUAAAACGCUCGUAGUCGGAUUUCGGGGCGGGCCCGCCGGUCUGCCGAUGGGUAUGCACUGGCGGGCGCGUCCUUCCUCCCGGAGACGGCUGCUACUCUUAACUGAGCGGUGGUCGGAGACGGGAUAUUUACUUUGAAAAAAUCAGAGUGUUUCAAGCAGGCAGUCGCUCUUGCAUGGAUUAGCAUGGGAUAAUGAAAUAGGACUCUGGUGCUAUUUUGUUGGUUUCGAGCACCGGAGUAAUGAUUAACAGGGACAGUCAGGGGCACUCGUAUUCCGCCGAGAGAGGUGAAAUUCUCAGACCAGCGGAAGACGAACCACUGCGAAAGCAUUUGCCAGGGAUGUUUUCACUGAUCAAGAACGAAAGUUAGGGGAUCGAAGACGAUCAGAUACCGUCGUAGUCUUAACCAUAAACCAUGCCGACUAGGGAUUGGAGGAUGUUCCAUUUGUGACUCCUUCAGCACCUUUCGGGAAACUAAAGUCUUUGGGUUCCGGGGGGAGUAUGGUCGCAAGGCUGAAACUUAAAGGAAUUGACGGAAGGGCACCACCAGGAGUGGAGCCUGCGGCUUAAUUUGACUCAACACGGGGAAACUUACCAGGUCCAGACAUUGUGAGGAUUGACAGAUUGAGAGCUCUUUCUUGAUUCGAUGGGUGGUGGUGCAUGGCCGUUCUUAGUUGGUGGAGUGAUUUGUCUGGUUAAUUCCGUUAACGAACGAGACCGCAGCCUGCUAAAUAGCGCGCCGAACCCUUUGUUGGGUGUCGCUUCUUAGAGGGACAACUUGUCUUCAACAAGUGGAAGUUCGCGGCAAUAACAGGUCUGUGAUGCCCUUAGAUGUUCUGGGCCGCACGCGCGCUACACUGAUGCAUUCAGCGAGUCUAUCACCUUGACCGAGAGGUCCGGGUAAUCUUUUGAAAUUGCAUCGUGAUGGGGAUAGAUUAUUGCAACUAUUAAUCUUCAACGAGGAAUUCCUAGUAAGCGUGUGUCAUCAGCGCACGUUGAUUACGUCCCUGCCCUUUGUACACACCGCCCGUCGCUCCUACCGAUUGAAUGAUCCGGUGAGGCCCCCGGACUGCGGUCCCGUCGCUGGUUCUCCAGCUUUGGGGUUGCGGGAAGCUGUCCGAACCUUAUCAUUUAGAGGAAGGAGAAGUCGUAACAAGGUUUCCGUAGGUGAACCUGCGGAAGGAUCAUUACCGGUCUUUCCACCCCACACUUGCUGCACUGUAUACAACCCGUGGGCCCCUUUCAGGGGGGGAUUGCGGGGUCGACUUGUCGGCUCCGCUUUCCUUCUCCUGGAUGCCCGGGCUCCGGCCCGGGCCCCGCACCACGCAUUCUCUGAGGCUCUCCAUGGAGCCUCCCCCCCUCUGUGGCGGUUCUCUCACAAGGACCGUCCCUCCAAUUCAAAAUCACACAACUCCUGCCGAUGGAUAUCUUGGCUCUCGCAACGAUGAAGAACGCAGCGAAAUGCGAUACGUAGUGCGAAUUGCAGAAUUCAGUGAAUCAUCGAACCUUUGAACGCAAAUGGCGCUCCCGGGUUCCGCCCGGGAGCAUGUCUCUUCGAGUGGCGUCUCCACCCUCCUCGGAGCGAGCCCCGCGCUCUAGCUCCGGAGCUGCCCGCUGCGCUUCGCGAGGAGCGCACCGGGCCAAGGCCUGCGACUUGCUGGUGAGGACUUUUGCGCCUCUGCCAGAGUGCUACUGUCCCCGGACACGUUCCUCUGGCUGGCGUGCCCCACCCUUUCGCCCCGCAUGCACCGGCUGAGGCCUGUGUGUGCACCCACUAUAACCUUUUGACCCGCCAUCGAAUGAGGCAAGACUACCCGCUGAACUUAAGCAUAUCACUAAGCGGAGGAGAAGAAACUAACCAGGAUGCCCUCAGUAAUGGCGAAUGAAGCGGGCUGAGCUCACGCUGCCAAUCCGGAGGCCUCGCGCCCCCUGAAUUGUGGUCUAGAGAGGCGCCAUCGGUCGUACCCGCCGCUCAAGUCCCUUGGAACAGGGUAUCGGAGAGGGUGAGAAUCCCGUACCGUGGCGGAGUGCGUCCUUACGAUGCGUCCUUGUCGAGUCGGGUUGCUUGGGAUUGCAGCUUGAAGUGGGUGGUAAAUUCCAUCUAAAGCUAAAUACUGGCGAGAGACCGAUAGCGAACAAGUACCGUGAGGGAAAGAUGCAAAGAACUUUGAAAAGAGAGUCAAAGAGUGCUUGAAAUCGGUAGGAGGAAACCCGGAUGGGCCCGGCUUCGGCGUCGCGACUCAGCCCCCUGCUCGGGGGGGUGCACUUUGCGACGCCGGGUCAGCCGCCGCUCCGGCCGCGGUACAACUGGGGAGCAGGGCUCCGGCGAGCUCCCCUCCUGCCGCGCCCGGGGCGCCGUCUGACGGAACGGGCCCCUCCGACCCGUCUAGAAACACGGACCAAGGAGUCUGACACGUGUGCGAGUACCCGGGUGGCAAGCCCGCGUGCGGAAUGAAAGUGAAGGGCAUGCCCUGCCAACCGACCUUGACCUUCUGUGAAGGGUUUGAGUGGAGCACACCUGUCGGGACCCGAAAGAUGGUGAACUAUGCCUGGGUAGGGUGAAGCCAGAGGAAACUCUGGUGGAGGCUCGUAGCGAUACUGACGUGCAAAUCGUUCGUCGAAUCUGGGUAUAGGGGCGAAAGACUAAUCGAACCAUCUAGUAGCUGGUUCCCUCCGA